AUUUAUUUUACAUUUUUUUUUUUUUUUUUAAAUAUGGCUUCCCCAAUCUUGCCUCAGGAUUGAGGUGAGAAAAAAAAAGUUCCUCCCUAUAUCAAGUCUAAAGCAUUACAGGAUGCAGAUGAGGCAGGAGACUUGUAACCAAAGUGUAUUUUUAUAUGCCAGUUUGUUCUUUCACAUUCUAUCACAUUGGUUAUUUAUUUCGGAGAGGGGUGUGAAUCAAUUAUUGACUUGUGUAACUUAGGGUGGCAUCUUGUUUGACAUUUCUUCACUGGUAUAGAUAAAGAAUGAAUUCCCUUUACCUGUGAUUUACAAGCCUGUGUGGGUGGGUCUCCAUCUUUCAAUCUUACACUGACCUAGAAAUGUAUUAAUCUUGAUUAAGUAUGCGUAUCACUCAUAAAACUCUUUGAUUGCCUGCUUCGUCAUCUACCAUUUGUCGACUUUGUAACUGGCUCUUGCCGACAUCAUUUUUCACUAUUUAGUUUGUUUCAUUCAUUAGAGAAAAGCAACAACAAAGGGAUGUUUUUAAUUUGAAAAGCAAAGGAUUGGAGCUUGACUCCCUUCAUUUGUACAUUGUAG
Molecule: non-coding RNA, 576 nt
Organism: Pelobates cultripes (western spadefoot toad)
Lineage: Eukaryota; Metazoa; Chordata; Amphibia; Anura; Pelobatidae
Source: the annotation of a GenBank genome assembly